AUCGCUUCUCGGCCUUUUAGCUAAGAUCAAGUGUAGUAUCUGUUCUUAUCAGUUUAAUAUCUGAUACGUCCCCUAUCUGGGGACCAUAUAUUAAAUGGAUUUUUGGGACAGGGAGAUGGAAGAAGAGUUUGCUCUGUCCACUCCACGCAUUGACCUGGUAUUGCAGUACCUCCAGGACCGGUGCACCUCUC
Molecule: small nuclear RNA, 191 nt
Filed under: Pelobates cultripes (western spadefoot toad)
Lineage: Eukaryota; Metazoa; Chordata; Amphibia; Anura; Pelobatidae
Rfam family: U2 spliceosomal RNA
About the family: U2 is a small nuclear RNA (snRNA) component of the spliceosome (involved in pre-mRNA splicing). Complementary binding between U2 snRNA (in an area lying towards the 5' end but 3' to hairpin I) and the branchpoint sequence (BPS) of the intron results the bulging out of an unpaired adenosine, on the BPS, which initiates a nucleophilic attack at the intronic 5' splice site, thus starting the first of two transesterification reactions that mediate splicing.
Source: RNAcentral